GGAGUUUGGGCCGUGUCUCAGUCCCAAUGUGGCCGGUCGCCCUCUCAGGCCGGCUACUGAUCGUCGCUUUGGUAGGCCGUUACCCUGCCAACUGGCUAAUCAGACGCGGGGCCAUCCCAUUCCACCGUGAUUUUUCACACUGCACCAUGCGGUGCUGUGCGCUUAUGCGGUAUUAACAGUCGUUUCCAACUGGUAUCCCCCGGAAUGGGGCAGGUUCCCCACGCGUUACUCACCCGUCCGCCACUCGGCGUUAUCAGUUUCCAUCCGAAAACUUCAACCGAUAACCCUCGUUCGACUUGCAUGUGUUAAGCACGCCGCCAGCGUUCAUC
RNAcentral lists this ribosomal RNA (329 nucleotides) under uncultured Lachnospiraceae bacterium. Its description in RNAcentral is "partial 16S ribosomal RNA". The record is from RNAcentral. Lineage: Bacteria; Bacillati; Bacillota; Clostridia; Lachnospirales; Lachnospiraceae.